UACCACGCACACCGACGUCCGGUAGAAGAAGUAGAGGGGAGGGCAGGGGAGUAACCAAGCAAAAUACACGUCCCGUCCGACGACGACGACCUCCGCGUGCAGCGGACGGAGGCGCAGUGGUGGGGGCAGCUGGUCGAGGGGGCGUAGCGGCGCGUCUAGCGGCGCGCGCGGGGCGGCGGGCACGGGGGGCGGCAGCGCGGGCGGCCGCCGCUCCUCGAGCUGGAGAAGUACUGUGUGAUACACGACGAGGAGACAAGGAAGUUCCUUGUCGAGGUCGUCGUACACGCGCAGGUGCGGGACCUCCGCCACUACCGGACGACCCUCGAGCUCGUUUGAGACGUCUCAGAAUGUCCCCGUAGAGGACCACUUCCGUGGCCCCGUUGAUACAGGCUACUGCUUCUGUUAGGCCAGCUGUCACUCUCGUUGUACAAACUGCCCUUACUACACAGUCUACCGUACCCGAAGCCUUACGAUUGGCUCCCACUCUCUAGGAACCAGCUCGCGCACUCCGUUCUCGACUUCGUACUCGAAUUUGUCCCCAUAUCUCUUUUCGAACACCUGUAGUCCCUCUUCUACGACGCCUUCGCUUCUCGGCCUUUCGAGGGUCCCCUGUGCCGCAGAUGGGACUUUCGAACCACCGUUCGGGUGCGGUUUACCGGCAUGGGUUGACUCCUCCUGUUCCGCGCCGACCACGUCCUCUGCCCCGACGUCGACUUCGUCUAGUUGUUGACCAAGUAGUUGGUCGCGUUCGCCUUGACCGUGUCGUUGGGAUGGAGCAGGAGCAGUCUGUUCUCGUUCUCUUUUUCCUUGUUACGUCCACUCCCGUUGCGGCUCGUCAGGACCAUC
Molecule: ribosomal RNA, 846 nt
Filed under: Triticum aestivum (bread wheat)
Lineage: Eukaryota; Viridiplantae; Streptophyta; Magnoliopsida; Poales; Poaceae
Description: partial small subunit ribosomal RNA
Source: RNAcentral